GAUCAUUAUUGAAAUAAACCUGAUAGGUUGCUGCUGGUUCUCUAGGGAGCAUGUGCACACUUGUCAUCUUUAUAUCUCCACCUGUGCACCUUUUGUAGGCCUGAAUAACUUUCUGAAUGCCUAGGCAAUUCAGGUUUGAGGAUUGACUCUUCGUCUUUCCUUACAUUUUUAGGCCUAUGUUUCUUCAUAUACCCCAAUGUAUGUUAUAGAAUGUAGUAAUGGGCCUUUGUGCCUAUAAACCUAUACAACUUUCAGCAACGGAUCUCUUGGCUCUCGCAUCGAUGAAGAACGCAGCGAAAUGCGAUAAGUAAUGUGAAUUGCAGAAUUCAGUGAAUCAUCGAAUCUUUGAACGCACCUUGCGCUCCUUGGUAUUCCGAGGAGCAUGCCUGUUUGAGUGUCAUUAAUAUAUCAACCUCCUCAAGUUUUUGCUUGUUGAGUUUGGAUGUGGGGGUUUUUUUUUGUUGGUCUCUUUUCUGAGGUCAGCUCCCCUGAAAUGCAUUAGCGGAACAAUUUGUUGACCGUUCAUUGGUGUGAUAAACUAUCUACGCUAUUGACGUGAAGCAGGUUCAGCUUCUAACAGUCCAUUGACUUGGACAAAUUUUCAUUAAUGUGACCUCAAAUCAGGUAGG
This 629-nucleotide ribosomal RNA is filed under the name uncultured Cortinarius. Its description in RNAcentral is "eukaryotic LSU rRNA". The stretch from base 247 to 400 matches the Rfam family "5.8S ribosomal RNA". The record is from RNAcentral. Lineage: Eukaryota; Fungi; Basidiomycota; Agaricomycetes; Agaricales; Cortinariaceae.